GCCUUCGUGGUGUAGUGGUCAACCCACUCGACGCGUAACCGAGAGGUCCGUGGUUCGAUUCUCGGCGAAGGCA
Molecule: transfer RNA, 73 nt
Filed under: Stegodyphus mimosarum
Lineage: Eukaryota; Metazoa; Arthropoda; Arachnida; Araneae; Eresidae
Rfam family: tRNA
About the family: Transfer RNA (tRNA) molecules are approximately 80 nucleotides in length. Their secondary structure includes four short double-helical elements and three loops (D, anti-codon, and T loops).
Source: Rfam by way of RNAcentral